UCCGGUUUGUCACCGGCAGUCUCAUUAGAGUGCCCACCAUUACGUGCUGGCAACUAGGGACAAGGGUUGCGCUCGUUGCGGGACUUAACCCAACAUCUCACGACACGAGCUGACGACAGCCAUGCAGCACCUGUCACUCUGUCCCUUUCGGGCCUUCCGUAUCUCUACGGCGUUCAGAGGAUGCCAAACCCAGGUAAGGUUUUUCGCGUUGCAUCGAAUUAAACCACAUUCUCCACCGCUUGUGCGGGCCCCCGUCAAUUUCUUUGAGUUUUAAUCUUGCGACCGUACUCCCCAGGCGGGAUACUUAACGCGUUAGCUGCGGCACGAGAGGGGUCAAUACCUCUCACACCAAGUAUCCAUCGUUUACGGCGUGGACUAC
This 379-nucleotide unclassified non-coding RNA is filed under the name uncultured Pseudomonadota bacterium. RNAcentral's name for it is "uncultured proteobacterium contains 16S-23S intergenic spacer region". The record is from RNAcentral. Lineage: Bacteria; Pseudomonadati; Pseudomonadota.